Molecule: ribosomal RNA, 454 nt
Filed under: uncultured Verrucomicrobiota bacterium
Lineage: Bacteria; Pseudomonadati; Verrucomicrobiota
Description: bacterial SSU rRNA
Rfam family: Bacterial small subunit ribosomal RNA
Source: RNAcentral
GGCGGCGUGGAUAAGACAUGCAAGUCGAACGAUUAUCAUCGGGUAGCAAUAUUCGGUGGUGAGAGUGGCGCAAGGGUGCGUAACACGUGGGUAAUUUGCCGUAAAGUCUGGAAUAACUUGCUGAAAGGCGAGCUAAUACCGGAUGUGAUUGCUGGAGGGCAUCCUCUGGCACUUAAAGUCGGGGAUCGUAAGACCUGACACUUUUCGAUAAGCCCGCGGCCUAUCAGCUAGUUGGUGAGGUAACGGCUCACCAAGGCUAAGACGGGUAGCUGGUCUGAGAGGACGACCAGCCACACUGGAACUGAGACACGGUCCAGACACCUACGGGUGGCAGCAGUCGAGAAUUUUUCUCAAUGGGGGAAACCCUGAAGGAGCGACGCCGCGUGGGGGAUGAAUGGCUUCGGCCCGUNAACCCCUGUCAUUUGCGAUCAAACCUUACGACCUAACACGUCGU